This 400-nucleotide ribosomal RNA is filed under the name uncultured bacterium. Its description in RNAcentral is "bacterial SSU rRNA". It matches the Rfam family "Bacterial small subunit ribosomal RNA", at positions 355 to 772 of the family's 1533-position model. The record is from RNAcentral.
UGGGGAAUCUUGGACAAUGGGGGCAACCCUGAUCCAGCCAUGCCGCGUGGGUGAUGAAGGCCUUAGGGUCGUAAAGCCCUUUCGCUGGGGAAGACAAUGACGGUACCCAGAGAAGAAGCCCCGGCUAACUCCGUGCCAGCAGCCGCGGUCAUACGGAGGGGGCUAGCGUUGUUCGGAAUGACUGGGCGUAAAGCGCGCGUAGGCGGAUCAUCAAGUCGGGGGUGAAAUCCCGGGGCUCAACCCCGGAACGGCCUUCGAGACUGGUGGUCUUGAGUUCGAGAGAGGUGGGUGGAAUUCCGAGUGUAGAGGUGAAAUUCGUAGAUAUUCGGAGGAACACCAGUGGCGAAGGCGGCCCACUGGCUCGACACUGACGCUGAGGCGCGAAAGCGUGGGGAGCAAA